UACGAAGGGGGCUAGCGUUGCUCGGAAUUACUGGGCGUAAAGCGCACGUAGGCGGCUUCUUAAGUCGGUGGUGAAAUCCUGGAGCUCAACUCCAGAACUGCCUUCGAUACUGGGAAGCUCGAGUCCGGGAGAGGUGAGUGGAACUGCGAGUGUAGAGGUGAAAUUCGUAGAUAUUCGCAAGAACACCAGUGGCGAAGGUGGCUCACUGGCCCGGUACUGACGCUGAGGUGCGAAAGCGUGGGGAGCAAACAGG
This 253-nucleotide ribosomal RNA is filed under the name uncultured bacterium. Its description in RNAcentral is "partial 16S ribosomal RNA". It matches the Rfam family "Bacterial small subunit ribosomal RNA", at positions 524 to 776 of the family's 1533-position model. The record is from RNAcentral.